Molecule: ribosomal RNA, 404 nt
Filed under: Fusobacteriota bacterium
Lineage: Bacteria; Fusobacteriati; Fusobacteriota
Description: Fusobacteria bacterium partial 16S ribosomal RNA
Rfam family: Bacterial small subunit ribosomal RNA
Source: RNAcentral
UGGGGAAUAUUGCACAAUGGAGGGAACUCUGAUGCAGCGACGCCGCGUGAGUGAUGAAGGAAUUCGUUUCGUAAAACUCUGUUCUAUGGGAAGAAAAGGACUGUACCAUAGGAGAAAGCUCCGGCUAAAUACGUGCCAGCAGCCGCGGUAAUACGUAUGGAGCGAGCGUUGUCCGGAAUUAUUGGGCGUAAAGGGUGCGCAGGCGGCUUUACAAGAUGGAUGUGAAAUAUUGUGGCUCAACCACAAACGUGCAUCCAAAACUGCAAAGCUUGAGUUAAGGAGAGGUAAGUGGAAUUCCUGGUGUAGCGGUGGAAUGCGUAGAUAUCAGGAGGAAUACCGGUGGCGAAGGCGACUUACUGGACUUAAACUGACGCUCAGGCACGAAAGCGUGGGGAGCAAACAGG